CCUACGGGAGGCAGCAGUAGGGAAUCUUCCACAAUGGGCGAAAGCCUGAUGGAGCAACGCCGCGUGGGUGAAGAAGGUCUUCGGAUCGUAAAACUCUGUUGUUAGAGAAGAAAGUGCGUGAGAGUAACUGUUCACGUUUCGACGGUAUCUAACCAGAAAGCCACGGCUAACUACGUGCCAGCAGCCGCGGUAAUACGUAGGUGGCAAGCGUUAUCCGGAUUUAUUGGGCGUAAAGGGAACGCAGGCGGUUUUUUAAGUCUGAUGUGAAAGCCUUCGGCUUAACCGGAGUAGUGCAUUGGAAACUGGGGGACUUGAGUGCAGAAGAGGAGAGUGGAACUCCAUGUGUAGCGGUGAAAUGCGUAGAUAUAUGGAAGAACACCAGUGGCGAAGGCGGCUCUCUGGUCUGUAACUGACGCUGAGGUUCGAAAGCGUGGGUAGCAAACAGGAUUAGAUACCCGGGUAGUC
RNAcentral lists this ribosomal RNA (465 nucleotides) under uncultured bacterium. Its description in RNAcentral is "partial 16S ribosomal RNA". It matches the Rfam family "Bacterial small subunit ribosomal RNA", at positions 338 to 795 of the family's 1533-position model. The record is from RNAcentral.